AACUCUGAAAAACAUUUAUUCAUCCAUUUGAAGACUAUACAUCCAUUACAUGUUACCUUAAAAAAAUUUUUAAACCUAUAUUUUCCAAAACAAUAUAUUUCAUCAGUAGGAGUGGCAUCGUUUUACAUUUUUGCAGAUCCUUAAAGCCUGGCUUAACAGAAGGCUGCUGCAUCCUCAUAGCUGCUUCCGCCUUCGGUCUGUUGCAGUAUGGUAUCCUGACUGAAGAAAACCACGUGGGGUUGGGAAAGGAAGGACCUUGAGGACCCUCAGGGGUCCUUGGACCACACUGCCGAGGGCAUGGUGUGGCAGCCGACUUUAACCCAUACAUUCUAGAACAGAGAGAGCCAUGACCAAACCAGAGGGAGAGACACCUGCAGAUAUCCUGGGUUGCGGGCUGGAAGAAGUAUUAACAGUUGAUGAAGCAGCUUGGCAUUGCCUCUCUUUUCUCCUAGGGAAGGGAUAAACCACUGUCUUUUUGUGAGGCAUGGUUGUGUUAUGUCAGGUGGGAGCCUGAUUUCUGAGGUGCGCGCAUGGGAAGAUGGGGGUGCAUCAGAUAGCCAAGGAAAGUGGUGUAGUGGACUUUUGUCAUCUGAACACCCUUCCUUUUGGGAAAAUCUUUUAUCGAGUGAGUUCUGGCAGAGUCCUGCCCCCUCCUCCUCGAGACAAAGGAGCCAGAUGCUGUUUUGCAGCAAAAGCUGACUGAUACAUCACAGGAGAAAUAGUUACAGAAUCUGACACAUGCUGAAUGCUGGAUAAUCAGUGUUUCAUGGCAGUUAGGUAAAUCCCAGGCACUGAAGUGCUCGCAGCCUCACAGAUCGAACGACUUCCUACAACCUGUCACUUCUGUUUUUACCUAAUGGUCCUGACAGCGGAUGGCCUACCUGGUGAGAAAGCUUGUUUCCACACUAGAUGCUGGCUUUCCAACACCAGAUAGCUUGGGGGAAGAGGAAGUUAAGAUGGGCUGGGGGGUUGUGGGGACCCCUCAGGUUUGGGAGUUUGCACCAGGUGCCAACAAGCUCCUGGCCUGAAACUGUAGCCAGGAGGGGCCAGUGGUCCCACUGCAGCCUCCAAACCUGCCUCCCAGUUCCUCCAGCACUGCCUGCCCAUGCACCCCUAAAUCUUACUGAAAUGAAAAUCCACGUCUUUGAGAUAUUCUUUAGGGGUGGAGGGGAGGCACUGGGCUCCUGAAAACAAAGAUGAGCUUAAAGUUCUAGGUCACCCUGAGGCUAGCAGCAUCCUUCCCUGCAUUUUGCAAAAGCUGCACUGGGCUCUUUCCCUUUGUGGGUGCAGCUCACACUUCUCACCGUACAGGACACUUUGCAUGGGCAGGGCUGUUUGCUCUCCACUGCAUCCCCACUGCCUGGCACCAUGCUUGGCUCGGGGUAGGUCUUCAAGAAAUAUUGAGAAUAUGAAUGAAUCAAUGAAUCCUUAUUUAUAAAAAGUUACACCCACUGCUGCUCAGGGCUGCCGGCUGGUGUAAACUGCCAGUGUGAGAGAGACAGAGCGAGCUCCCUCAGACAGCGAGCUCAAUCCCAGCCAACUAAGCCCAGCUGUAGCUCCCUCAGGCAUUCUGGCACUCAGGUUCCUAGAGCUGGCUUUUGUUGACAGCAUGUGUACAGAGCAU
Molecule: long non-coding RNA, 1624 nt
Filed under: Homo sapiens (human)
Lineage: Eukaryota; Metazoa; Chordata; Mammalia; Primates; Hominidae
Description: non-protein coding lnc-RALB-8:1
Source: RNAcentral